Molecule: non-coding RNA, 99 nt
Filed under: Desulfatitalea sp.
Lineage: Bacteria; Pseudomonadati; Thermodesulfobacteriota; Desulfobacteria; Desulfobacterales; Desulfosarcinaceae
Description: TPP sequence
Rfam family: TPP riboswitch aptamer (THI element)
About the family: Vitamin B(1) in its active form thiamin pyrophosphate (TPP) is an essential coenzyme that is synthesised by coupling of pyrimidine and thiazole moieties in bacteria.
Source: RNAcentral
UAUACACGCUAGGGGUGCGGUUCACGCUGAGAGGAUUCAGUCCAACCCUUAGAACCUGAUCCGGGUAAUACCGGCGAAGGGAAGCGGCGCGACAAAAAG